CGCACGGAAUAAGACAUGUAGUAAUACUUGUUUUAUUUAGUGGCGCACGGGUGAGUAACACGUGAAUUACAUGCCCUAUAGUGGGGAAUAGCCCAGGGAAACUUGGAUUAAUACCCCAUAGUCUCGCAAGAGUAAAGGUGGCCCCGACUUGUCGGGGCUGUCGCUAUAGGAUUGGUUCGCGCCCUAUCAGCUUGUUGGUGAGGUAACGGCUCACCAAGGCAUUGACGGGUACCUGGUCUGAGAGGACGAUCAGGCACACUGGAACUGAGACACGGUCCAGACACCUACGGGUGGCAGCAGUCGAGAAUAAUUCACAAUGGGGGCAACCCUGAUGGUGCAACGCCGCGUGGAGGAUGACGGUCUUCGGAUUGUAAACUCCUGUCAUCUGGGAGAAAGACCUGGGAGUUAAUAGCUCACAGGGUUGAUAGUACCAGAAGAGGAAGGGACGGCUAACUUCGUGCCAGCAGCCGCGGUAAUACGAAGGUCCCGAGCGUUGUUCGGAAUCACUGGGCGUAAAGGGAGCGUAGGCGGCGCGGUAAGUCGGAUGUGAAAUCCCGGGGCUCAACCCCGGAACUGCAUCUGAUACUGCCGUGCUAGAGUAAUGGAGAGGUAGCUGGAAUUAUCGGUGUAGCAGUGAAAUGCGUAGAUAUCGAUAGGAACACUCGUGGCGAAAGCGAGCUACUGGACAUUUACUGACGCUGAGGCUCGAAGGCUAGGGGAGCGAAAGGGAUUAGAUACCCCUGUAGUCCUAGCAGUAAACGGUGCACGCUUGGUGUGAGGGGAAUCGACCCCCCUUGUGCCGGAGCUAACGCGUUAAGCGUGCCGCCUGGGAAGUA
RNAcentral lists this ribosomal RNA (836 nucleotides) under uncultured organism. Its description in RNAcentral is "bacterial SSU rRNA". It matches the Rfam family "Bacterial small subunit ribosomal RNA", at positions 63 to 882 of the family's 1533-position model. The record is from RNAcentral.